This is a non-coding RNA of Heterocephalus glaber (naked mole-rat), 792 nucleotides long. NCBI's taxonomy places the organism in Eukaryota, Metazoa, Chordata, Mammalia, Rodentia, Bathyergidae. The record is from RefSeq and is a predicted model, not a curated record.
UGUCAUUCAAAAUUCAAAUGCUAUAGCAAUUUAAUAUGCACCAUUGUCUUAGACACUUUCUUCAUUGCUGGGACAACAUAUCUGACACCUACAACUUAAAGGAAGAGAAGAUUAUUUUGGCUAAUGCUUUCUGCCCAUGGUAUGCUGGCUCUAAGGCAGAAAGGCAGGGGCAGAGCGGAGGAAAGCUCCUCCCAUCACGGCAGCCAAGAAGCGAGCGGAAGUGACCAGGAAGAGAAAUAAAACCUUCCGGGUCACAACCCCAGUCUCCUACCUCUUAAGACCAGGUCCCACCUCCUACCGGGCCUUGAAAGCUAUCAGAUGGAUAAGAGGUGCUCAGUGAAUGUCCCUGGGAUGUUAUGAAAGAACGCAAUGUUACCGGCACCUGGGUGUGCGUUGGAUGCCAGGAGAGGAGGCAGCCAGUGCACUGAUUUUGGGUUUCUCAGUCCAAAGGCAAAGAAAGAUCAUCUUCCUACACAGCUAAGAAGCAGCACAUGGAUUAGAAAAAAAAGUCCAAGCUGGAAUCCAACCUGGGCCUGAAUUCUGCUUUUUUGUUGUUGUUUGUUUUUUGAGGCAAGGUCUCGUUAUGUAGUCCAGGCUGGCCUUGAACUCACUAUGUAGCCCAGGCUGGCCUAGGACUCACAGCGAUCCUUUUGCCUCAGCCUCCCAAUCGCUAGGUUUACAGGAGUGUGCCACCAUGCUUGUUCAUCUUUCUUCACCAUAGGCACCCCCUGCUGGAAUCCCUCCCACUUGCCAUUUCCUUAGGGACACAGGAUAAAGAGAAGAGAGAAGGCA